Molecule: long non-coding RNA, 492 nt
Organism: Otolemur garnettii (small-eared galago)
Lineage: Eukaryota; Metazoa; Chordata; Mammalia; Primates; Galagidae
Exons: 3
Source: RefSeq, a predicted model, not a curated record
GGGCCCGUCACAUGUGGGAGAAAGAUGGCACAGGGCAUGGUCUCCUGGAGCUCCAUCAGGGCAGCGGUCCCCUUGGUGCCAGGAAGCCCAAGCCUCGGAAACUGUGGCCCAUCCACAGGGCCUGCUGUCGGGAAUAAGCUCUGAGUGAGGAGGAACUUGGCCGAACAGGACAGGGAGGCUCACCCAGGGCCAACAGGGAGGUGACCUCAUCUGAUUCCUUCAAGAUUGUAACACUCAGCAUCUGGCUAAAUGCUUGAGGACCCAGCAGACAGAAACCAGCCUUUCUCAGGCUCAGAGCUCCAGCAUUGGCUGAGUGCCAGGCCAAGGGGUCCACUUACUGCGUGUUUGGCCAGGACGCACUGUGGGUAAGAAUGGGGGCCACGCUGUCUGUGGGUUGAGACCUGAGACACAUCUCUGGGCACCUGGGAUACAGAGCUCAAUUUGGAUGGGGUGCUAGAGGUAGCCUCAUCCAGAUACAAAUUACACCUCUCC